ACAAUGACUCUUGGCAACGGAUAUCUCGGCUCUCGCAUCGAUGAAGAACGCAUCGAAAUGUGAUACCUAGUGUGAAUUUCAGAAUCCCGUGAAUCAUCGAGUUUUUGAACGCAAGUUGCACCCAAGGCCUUCGGGCCGAGGGCACACCUACCUGGACGUCACG
RNAcentral lists this ribosomal RNA (163 nucleotides) under Dendrophthoe constricta. RNAcentral describes it as "5.8S ribosomal RNA". It matches the Rfam family "5.8S ribosomal RNA". From Rfam's summary of the family: 5.8S ribosomal RNA (5.8S rRNA) is a component of the large subunit of the eukaryotic ribosome. It is transcribed by RNA polymerase I as part of the 45S precursor that also contains 18S and 28S rRNA. The record is from RNAcentral. Lineage: Eukaryota; Viridiplantae; Streptophyta; Magnoliopsida; Santalales; Loranthaceae.